AGCAGUUCUCAGGUGAUGCGCCCCAGAAUCGGGCUCCCUCCUCUCUGGUUCCGGUGUGCGUCAACUGAGAACCACU
Myotis brandtii (Brandt's bat) is the source of this 76-nucleotide non-coding RNA. The record is from Rfam. Lineage: Eukaryota; Metazoa; Chordata; Mammalia; Chiroptera; Vespertilionidae.